This is a non-coding RNA of Gopherus evgoodei (Goodes thornscrub tortoise), 441 nucleotides long. Lineage: Eukaryota; Metazoa; Chordata; Testudines; Testudinidae. The record is from the annotation of a RefSeq genome assembly.
UGCAAAGCCACAGAAACCCAAGUACAACAUCGGAAUUCGCCGUUCCAUUGUCCAUCGCCUCCUGGCACCAUGGCCCUGGCUUCUCUAACUCUCUGUCUCCUGGGGCUUUCCCUGGCAGUGCCCUACACAAAGGCUGUAUUGACCCAGGCGGCCUCGGCGUCAGUGUCUCGAGGAAACGCUGCUAAACUGUCCUGCACUUUGAGCGCUGGCACCAGCAUCAGUAGCACCCAUGUGAGCUGGCUGCAGCAGAAAGCAGGGAACCCACCCAGAUACCUGCUCUAUUGUAAAGAUGAAUCCAGUGAAGGGCUCGCCUUGGCGGCCUCCAACCGGUUCUCCGCUACCAAAGAGGCCUCCACUAACACCUGUUAUUUAGCCAUCUCUGCAGUCGAAGCCGAGGAUGAGGCCAGUUAUUACUGUCUAAUAUCGAGUGGUGGCGAGUAA